RNAcentral lists this non-coding RNA (28 nucleotides) under Gallus gallus (chicken). The record is from RNAcentral. RNAcentral also lists the same sequence under 2 other names. Lineage: Eukaryota; Metazoa; Chordata; Aves; Galliformes; Phasianidae.
AUCCUUAGGUCGCUGGUUCGAUUCCGGC